UCGGCAUCGCUAUUCUUCUAUCUUUAUCCACUGCCAUUAUAACGUGGACCUCACUAUAUAUAGUUAACCUAGAAUAAAUUCAUCAACAGUCGUCAGUCUUGUUUGAAACAGAUAACAGAGUUUCGAAAAUUUGCAUAAUAUGUACAUGACUAUUAUUUUAUAAACCACUAUAAUUUUAAUUCGUGUUUUUACUGUUGGUUAUGGUAUUAGUUAUAAAAUGAAGUAGCAAUAAUGUAGCAUACCUAAUAAAAAAAUCUUUAUUAUAACAAGAAAGAAACUGACUUAUAUGUUGAUAACAAUAGCAUUAGGCUACUACUGCCUAUAUCGUACCUAUAUUUUGAGUUUUCUGUGGAGAACGAAUGGCUCAAGUUAAUGAAGCUAAUGAAAUAUCAAAAACCUACCAA
This is a long non-coding RNA of Nilaparvata lugens (brown planthopper), 404 nucleotides long. RefSeq lists it as uncharacterized. The record is from RefSeq and is a predicted model, not a curated record. NCBI's taxonomy places the organism in Eukaryota, Metazoa, Arthropoda, Insecta, Hemiptera, Delphacidae. The transcript is spliced from 2 exons.